Molecule: long non-coding RNA, 2273 nt
Organism: Clupea harengus (Atlantic herring)
Lineage: Eukaryota; Metazoa; Chordata; Actinopteri; Clupeiformes; Clupeidae
Source: Ensembl
UUUACCAAACGGCUCACCUCCGCAUGAUGAAGAGGAGGAGUGGGCCACAUAGUUUGGCAUGCACAAGCACACCCUGCAGACAUGGCAAAGCUUAGGACACAGAUCAUGGAUUAUGUAGAGCUGUGUGAUAGUAACAUUGCUUGUGUGUGAAAGUUAAUGGAUUAUGUAAAGCUAUGUGAUAGUAACAUUGCUUGUGUGUGAAAGUUAAUGGAUUAUGUAAAGCUAUGUGAUAGUAACAUUGCUUGUGUGUGAAAGUUAAUGGAUUAUGUAAAGCUGUGUGAUAGUAACAUUGCUUGUGUGUGAAAGUUAAUGGAUUAUGUAAAGCUAUGUGAUAGUAACAUUGCUUGUGUGUGAAAUAUAUAACCCUUGUGGUUUGUGAGUAUCAGGGCUUCACUUUCAGCCUUGUGCUGGGGGUGAGCCCAAUUGCAAUUGUUGUUUGUCUAAUAAAUAUACUUAUAUGCAGCUCCGGAGUCCUGAGGUAACUAGGGUGAAUUUUCACCUAUCACUAUCUGAUCAGGUCUAUGGAUGGAUGAUUCUUACAGGGGUGAGGCAGAGUGGUCCAAUCAGACUAUCUGAUCAUGGAUGGAUGAUUCUUAAAGGGCUGCAGCAGACUGGUCCAAUCAGACUAUCUGAUCAUGGAUGGAGGAUUCUUAAAGGGCUGCAGCACACUGACUGGUCCAAUGAAAAGAAGGUUUGAGUGGGAAGCCUCAAGGGCUGGAGGCUAGCACUACUCCAAACUUUGCUAUGUAAAUGUUUUACCCCGUGGCUGUUGUUGUUCAUCCAGCCCGUACCUCGGUGCCCGUCCUGGCGCAUCCCUUUGGACCUGAAAUAGGGGCGUGUCCCUGUGUGGCCCCCGUGGUUUGGUGAACUUGGUGUCUUCUCAUCAAGAUGGGCAAUGAACCAACCGAGAUGAAGGCAGAGGUAGUUAGCCCGGGUUCUUACGGAUGCGGCUGACGGUGGACACUGGACACGCUUUCAUUGAACAUCAGCCAACACUUUCUCCUGCAGAAAUAAGCGUCAGCUUGUGCACAGGACUAGGAGAGACAUCUGGGUCAAAUUAGUGACUCUUCCCUUGUGUUUUCAACUAAACACUGAAUAGAUACCCUUAUGUUAUACCGCGCCCCUUCCGACCUGAAAUAUUUUGUAUUUUGUCGCAUCUUUUGUUGGCCUUGUAUAUAAAUGCUGUUGUGAACCUGAUGUCUGACUGUGCUGGUUAUUUGUAUUGCCAAUAAAGUUUUCGGAGUACAUUUGGCCGCAAGAAUAUUCUUUUUUUCUUUUAAUACCACACACUGGAGUUCACAUAAUCUCGUAAUGUACUUAUGCUGGAUAGCCUGGUUGUGUUACGACCUGCCAACUGGCGAAGCGACAAUUUGGACAACUAUGGUACCUCAACAUCACUCAGGCUGUAGUGUCUAGCCUAUAGCUUAGCUAGCCUUAGCUUAUAGCUCACCGGACCUCAAUGUCCACUUUAAAAAAAAAAAUGAAAUGUCAUUUCAACAAAACUCUCCUGAGUUUGUUGCAGUUUAUUUAAUUGCAUGCUCUAUAUGCUUCUAGAAUUGCUCUGCUCCUAAUUGUUUAGACCCUCAGAACAUUUGAAAUAGUUGACAGGGUCAAUGUAGUUUUCUGUUCCAUCCGUCAGCAUUUGUGAGCAAAGGUCAAGUUAUAAGAGAGAAAACUUGGUUAAUAGACAUCAAUUUGAUAAACAGAAAAGGAAGAUUUAUGUAAGCAAUUAACCGCAGGUAAUAUGGCCACUUUAUCAGCAUCAGCAAUAUGACAUAGAGGGAGAGGGAGAGAGACAGGCCCGCCUGGCAAGGUGUAUGGCAAUUUUAUUUUUGUUUAGUUUUGAUGAGUUAUGUUUAGUUAUGGUUAGGAUAGAAGGGUAGCAGGAUGUGUUGCAUGCUGUACACGGAAUCCGUAAAGGCAUUCCUUCAUGGUAAAACAUGCGCCGUCUCAGUUAUGUUGGCUGGCUUGGUGCAUAGGGAUUUUUAGUUAUACAAGCAGAAUAAGGGUGGCAGGAUACAAUAGCAGUGCACAACUGGCUGGUGACAGCCGCAACACGCGUCACAUGCUGUACCCGGGAUCCGUAAAGGCACUCCUUCACGGUACAAUAUGCACUGUCUGUAGCCAACUCCUGCUAAACACAACAACAUGACCAGCAAGACGAAGCAAAGAAUGUUUAAAAGGAGCAUUUGAUGCAUUAUUCAUGACUAUAGGAUACACUAAAGAGAAAUGUCUUUAGUCUCGAUUUGAUUAUGGAAAGGGUGUCUGCAUCU